RNAcentral lists this ribosomal RNA (323 nucleotides) under uncultured Glissomonadida. RNAcentral describes it as "partial small subunit ribosomal RNA". The stretch from base 112 to 323 matches the Rfam family "Eukaryotic small subunit ribosomal RNA", at positions 743 to 955 of the family's 1831-position model. The record is from RNAcentral. Lineage: Eukaryota; Cercozoa; Glissomonadida.
GAUUUCUGAUGUGACGAGCCUGUCCCGCCGUGGUUACACGUGUGAGUGACGGGUUUCGUCCGUCUGUCUUCCGUGUGUGUGUUGUGAUUCAGUAAUGGAUUGCAGCACCGCUCGGAUCUUUUACUUUGAACAAAUUAGAGUGUUUCAAGCAGGCGUCAAGCCCUGAAUACAUGAGCAUGGAAUAAUCAUCGAGGACUGAGGUUCUGCGUUGGUUGGUUCGAGAACUGCAGUAAUGAUGGAUAGGGAUAGUUGGGGGUGCUAGUAUUCCGAGGCCAGAGGUGAAAUUCUUGGAUUCUCGGAAGACUCACUUAGGCGAAAGCAUU